RNAcentral lists this ribosomal RNA (233 nucleotides) under Bacillus stratosphericus. Its description in RNAcentral is "partial 16S ribosomal RNA". It matches the Rfam family "Bacterial small subunit ribosomal RNA", at positions 1309 to 1533 of the family's 1533-position model. Lineage: Bacteria; Bacillati; Bacillota; Bacilli; Caryophanales; Bacillaceae. The record is from RNAcentral.
AACUCGACUGCGUGAAGCUGGAAUCGCUAGUAAUCGCGGAUCAGCAUGCCGCGGUGAAUACGUUCCCGGGCCUUGUACACACCGCCCGUCACACCACGAGAGUUUGCAACACCCGAAGUCGGUGAGGUAACCUUUAUGGAGCCAGCCGCCGAAGGUGGGGCAGAUGAUUGGGGUGAAGUCGUAACAAGGUAGCCGUAUCGGAAGGUGCGGCUGGAUCACCUCCUUUCUAAGGA